AUACGACGGUGACAAAAGUCACCUCACCAUUUGUUGGGCCUAUAACAGACAUGACCCAACAGAAUCGUAGAUCGACCCGAUCCAUAUCCGACAUGACCUUUAAACAAUUGGGCCUGAUUCAAAUAUUUCAUGUCUCGAUCCAAAUUCGUAAAUUGGCAUCCAGUCUUCGCGCCGCCGCCGUCAAAAGCCCCUCCGCUAAGUAUCACCACUCAUAGACCGCAACGGGACGGCAAAAAUACACCGAAUCAGAAGGAGAAAAACAAUUUCUCUACAAGCAAUCAGCCGAAGAGGUAGCUACUCCUUGUAUUUGAGUUAAAUUCAUACUUUUUCCCGCGAAAUUCUUGUGUGAUGUAUGGCGACCCGAAUCUGUUUGAUGAAAUGCCUCAGAGAGUUUAGACCAAAUGUAAUAGCUUGAAUUUUGGUGCUAAUUGAUUCAUAUUGUUCGUGGGUAGUUUUGUUUUGAUCCAGAGAUUUGCGUGGAACCGUUUCUUGUGCAAAUUGAAGCUUAAUUUGGAGUGGGAAUUAUUGCCAUUACUGAGAGAGAGUUGGUGGGAAUAAUGGGAAGUAAAACUUUGUUCAAAUGGUCAAAACAAAUCACGACUUCCCAAGUUGGGCAGCUGAUAAAAGCUGAAAAGGACUUGCAGAAAGCUGUUCUCGUUUUCGAUUCGGCAACAGCCGAAUACACCAAUGGUUUCCGGCAUGAUCACACCACAUUUGGUCUCAUGGUCUCUCGGUUAGUCUCCGCGAACCAGUUCAGGUCCGCGGAGGCGUUACUCGAUAGGAUGAAGGAGGAGAAGUGUAGUGUUACUGAAGAUAUAUUCCUCUCUGUUUGCAGAGGGUACGGCCGCGUUCACAGGCCGCUGGAUGCCGUGAGGGUCUUCCACAAGAUGGAGGACUUUCAGUGUAAACCAACCCAAAAAUCUUACAUUACCAUACUUGGCAUUCUUGUUGAAGAAAACCAGUUAAAGAUUGCUUUCAAGUUCUAUAAGUAUAUGAGAGAAACUGGCAUUCCAGCUACUGUUAUUUCGCUUAAUAUUUUGAUCAAAGCCCUUUGUAAGAACAGUAAUUCUAUGGAUUCAGCUCUUCGAAUAUUCCGCGAGAUGCCCAAUAAGGGGUGCACCCCAGAUUCGUAUACGUAUGGUACUUUGAUCAAUGGAUUGUGUAGGAUGGGAAAGAUUGGGGAAGCAAAGGAGCUAUUCAAGGAGAUGGGAACAAAAGGUUGUUUGCCCUCUGUUGUUACUUAUACUUCCUUGAUACAUGGUUUGUGUCAAUCUAAGAACUUGGAUGAAGCUAUGGGAUUGUUUGAAGACAUGUCAAGCAAAGGUAUUACUCCAAACGUGUUUACUUAUAGCUCUUUGAUGGAUGGGUUUUGCAAGGGUGGGCGUUCUGGACAAGCAAUGGCACUAUUAGACUUAAUGGUUAGCAAGCACCAUAAGCCGAACAUAAUCACAUAUAGUACUUUGCUUCAUGGACUCUGUGAAGAAGGAAAGCUUCAAGAAGCUACAGAGAUUCUUGACAGGAUGAAACUCCAAGGCUUGAAACCAGAUGCAGGGCUUUAUGGGAAAGUAAUAAGUGGAUUUUGCAAUGUAUUCAAGUUCAAGGAAGCUGCAAACUUUCUUGAUGAGAUGGUCCUUGGCGGAGUCACCCCUAACAGAUUAACCUGGGGCCUUCUUGUUAGGAUUCAUAAUGCAGUGGUUCAGGGCUUGUGUAGUAGCGGUGAUCAAAACCGAGCUUUUCAACUGUAUCUUUGCAUGCGUACGAGGGGUAUCUCAAUUGAUAUGAAGACUUUUUAUAUUUUAGUGAAAUGUAUAUCUCAGAAAGGAGACCUGCACAAAGCUUAUCGAAUUGUUGAAGAGAUGGUGCUUGAUGGAUGUGUCCCCGAUGAGGGAAUAUGGAGUGCCAUGGUGGAUGGUUUUUGGAAUCGCAAGAAGGUGCGUGAACCUGCUGAGUUGUUGCAGGCUGAGCUGAUGACUGAAGUGGUUGAGCCUGAGACACUAAUCUGAAAGUUGUGAGCUAGUAAAUGUACUACAAUCUUUGGCGCAUAAGAUAAGAGAAAUCAUUAUUUUCUUACUCGGUACCUCAAACGAUAUUCGUAAUUAUUUGAUUAAGAGUUGAGAUGUUUAAAAGUUCUCUUUCAAUGUGCCAUGGACUUUUGAACUGGAAUUUACAAACAAAGAGAAUCGUCAUAUGACCGGCAUUUACAGAACUUGGAGGAAGCCGGGAUGGAAGAAAGAAUAAUUAAGGUUGUAUGUGCGGGGUUUUACAGUUUUAAGUAGCAUGCAGGCAAAUAUGAACUGAUCAAGCAAAAGAGGAGUUGCUAAUUUGCAGAGAGGGGGAAGCCCAUUCCGUGGCGCUUGGUUGGAAACACAACAAACAACAUACUGCAAAUGACGCCAAUGCCAACUGGCAAUGCUGUGAGUACCUCCUGAGCCUCAUCUGACGGCAUUGGAUAGAAGCAAUUCACUACAUUCUGAUCAAAAAGUGCAACAGCUGUGAAUACAAGUAUUGACAUGAAUGCAUGGAGGAAAUCUAUAAACUGCAGAUGGAAAUUUGCAGCGACUUCAGUUGAUAUGUUGGCUGACCCAUCAAUGAUCCAUAAGCCUUUGAAUGUAGCAAACCCAUAACAGACAUUUCCUUUAUUGUCCCUUAAGCUGUCAGUGAAACUCAGUAGAAAACAUGAAGCCCCACAGAGGGCCACAAGGCCAGCAGUCAUGGACCGGCUGACUGAGUCACAGUUGCCCUGGUUUGUAAAUAUGGGUGCCAGAAGCUGAAAUGCAAGAACUGUUCCCGUAGGCAAAAGAUUGGCCAAAUGAGCCAUGCUCUGAAAUGUCUGGCGAAUUGCUUUCUGUAUCAGCGUUCUUUGCUCUUCUGUCACUGAUUUUGGUGCAUCUUGCAAGAGGGGAAGUUUCUGAUCCUCAUCAUGCAGGUGUCGGGAUGCCUCAGCUUUUAUCUUGAUCUCCAUCGACCAGAAACGUUUGAUAAGCUUCUUUUCCCUUAAUGUUUUUCGUCUCUCCUCUCAGUUAUAGCAUUUUGCUUUGUGAGGAACAAUGUUAUAUAAAUAGGAAUAGAAAUGAAACUUGAGUGGAGGUAAAGGGAGGGAAAGAGUAGUUAGCCAUGCCUUGCAAGGAAGAGAAACCUAAAACUGGAACUGAAUUUUAGAUAAAGCAGCUAGCAGAAAUCGGAAGGGAGAGUUUUGGUUUCUUGCUUUUGUUUUUCGCUAACUGUCCAUGAAUCUCUGAUGACUCGUUAUAGACCAUGCUCUUUAGAGUAGUCAUAAGGGGGAGAAAAUUCUCUUUUAACCAAGAUCACAUGCAUUCAGAUACGAAGGCUUACAACAACGAAAGCAUGUCCAAUAGAAAGUGAAUCACCCCGUCCAAUAAACGCUGACCACAUGGUGAUUUGGUAACGAGAGUAUCUCCACAAAGGGGGGAUCAAGUACAAAGAAAUUUGGGAGCCUUUUUUGGUUGCUGAAACGCAAUGCGCAUUGGUUUGAGGCAAGCUUCACAAGAGAAGCAAAUGAUCAUUUGGAGAGAAAGAGAUACCAGGUGCGUGUUCUGAAUGAUGUUUCUGGGUGUGCGACGAUGAAUUCUCAACUUUUACUUAACAAAUGAUGGCUCGCCAUAGCCAAUGGCACAAACAAGCAUGCAGAGAUAUAUGAUCAUGGCAAGGAAAGAUUUUACGUACCUUUCCCUUCCUUUUUACUAAUUCAUAGCUUCAAACUUUUGUUGGGUUGUUUGUUUCACCUUCUUGCAGUUUUCAGUACCAAUUGAUUUUGUUUCUGCUUUUUCCCUAAUUUCAAUGAUGCUAUGUUUCCAUGAGAA
Malus domestica (apple) is the source of this 3821-nucleotide non-coding RNA. The record is from RefSeq and is a predicted model, not a curated record. NCBI's taxonomy places the organism in Eukaryota, Viridiplantae, Streptophyta, Magnoliopsida, Rosales, Rosaceae.